This 381-nucleotide ribosomal RNA is filed under the name Triticum aestivum (bread wheat). Its description in RNAcentral is "partial small subunit ribosomal RNA". Lineage: Eukaryota; Viridiplantae; Streptophyta; Magnoliopsida; Poales; Poaceae. The record is from RNAcentral.
AUGUGUAGAAAAGAAAAGUUCUCGGAAUGUCCUGAAAAUCCACGGAGGCACUUUUUGGAAUUAAUAAGAAUUUCUGGGCGAAAGAAAUACAUCAGGGGGCCCAGGGCCUAUCCACGAGACAGGGGGCGCGCCCCCCUGUCUCGUGGGCCCUUGCACCUCCACCGACCUCAACUCCAACUCCAUAUAUUCCGUCUCGGGAAGAAAAAAAUCAGAGAGAAAGUUUCAUCGCGUUUUACGACACGGAGCCGCCGCCAAGCCCUAAUCUCUCUUGGGAGGGCUGAUCUGGAGUCCGUUCAGGGCUCCGGAGAGGUGGAUUCGUCGCCGUCGUCAUCAUCAACCAUCCUCCAUCACCAAUUUCAUGAUGCUCACCGCCGUGCGUGA